RNAcentral lists this ribosomal RNA (253 nucleotides) under uncultured bacterium. Its description in RNAcentral is "partial 16S ribosomal RNA". It matches the Rfam family "Bacterial small subunit ribosomal RNA", at positions 524 to 776 of the family's 1533-position model. The record is from RNAcentral.
UACAGAGGUCUCAAGCGUUGUUCGGAUUCAUUGGGCGUAAAGGGUGCGUAGGCGGCGCGGUAAGUCGGGUGUGAAAUCUCGGAGCUUAACUCCGAAACUGCAUUCGAUACUGCCGUGCUUGAGGACUGGAGAGGAGACUGGAAUUUACGGUGGUAGCGGUGAAAUGCGUAGAUAUCGUAAGGAAGACCAGUGGCGAAGGCGGGUCUCUGGACAGUUCCUGACGUGAGGCACGAAGGCCAGGGGAGCAAACGGG